Molecule: ribosomal RNA, 449 nt
Filed under: uncultured bacterium
Lineage: Bacteria
Description: partial 16S ribosomal RNA
Rfam family: Bacterial small subunit ribosomal RNA
Source: RNAcentral
AACGAACGCUGGCGGCAUGCCUAACACAUGCAAGUCGAACGAGAUCUUCGGGUCUAGUGGCACACGGGUGCGUAACGCGUGGGAAUCUGCCCUUUGGUUCGGAAUAACAGUUGGAAACGACUGCUAAUACCGGAUGAUGACGAAAGUCCAAAGAUUUAUCGCCAGAGGAUGAGCCCGCGUAGGAUUAGCUAGUUGGUGGGGUAAAGGCGCACCAAGGCGACGAUCCUUAGCUGGUCUGAGAGGAUGAUCAGCCACACUGGGACUGAGACACGGCCCAGACUCCUACGGGAGGCAGCAGUGGGGAAUAUUGGACAAUGGGCGAAAGCCUGAUCCAGCAAUGCCGCGUGAGUGAUGAAGGCCUUAGGGUUGUAAAGCUCUUUUACCCGGGAUGAUAAUGACAGUACCGGGAGAAUAAGCUCCGGCUAACUCCGUGCCAGCAGCCGCCGUAA